ACACACACACACUGCAGAGCUGGAGGCGCUGCGAUUGGAGAAGCAGCAGUCACAUGACCAACUGCAGGAAGCCAAAGAGAGUCUGGAGAAGCAGCAGCACAAGUUAUCGGAGCUGAUGGAGAUCUGUCGGCAGAAAGACGACGUCAUCAACGAGCUGCAGGCAGCCAUGGACGCCACGGUGGAGAACGCCACCAGAGACAGGUCUCUGGUGGAGUCGAUUCGGUCGGAGCUGCUGGAGCUUCAGCAGAGGGCCGGAAGAGACGGAGCAGC
Long non-coding RNA from Perca fluviatilis (European perch), 270 nucleotides. RefSeq lists it as uncharacterized. The record is from RefSeq and is a predicted model, not a curated record. Lineage: Eukaryota; Metazoa; Chordata; Actinopteri; Perciformes; Percidae. The transcript has 4 exons.